AUUUAUGAAUCUGCCUANUAGUGGGGGAUAGCUCGGGGAAACUCNCAUUAAUACCGCANACAACCUACNGGUGAAAGGGGGCGCAAGCUCUUGCUAUUANAUGAGCCUAAAUCAGAUUAGCUAGUUGGUGGGGUAAAGGCCCACCANGGCACCAUCUGUAACUGGUCUGAGAGGAUGAUCAUCACACCGAACUGAGACACGUCCGGACUCCUACGGAANGCAGCAGUGGGGAAUAUUGGACAAUGGGGGCAACCCUGAUCCAGCCNUGCCGCGUGUGUGAANAAGGCCUUUUGGUUGUAAAGCACUUU
Molecule: ribosomal RNA, 308 nt
Filed under: Vibrio sp. I2K5
Lineage: Bacteria; Pseudomonadati; Pseudomonadota; Gammaproteobacteria; Vibrionales; Vibrionaceae
Description: partial 16S ribosomal RNA
Rfam family: Bacterial small subunit ribosomal RNA
Source: RNAcentral